UACGGAGGGAGCUAGCGUUAUUCGGAAUUACUGGGCGUAAAGCGCACGUAGGCGGCUUUGUAAGUAAGAGGUGAAAGCCCAGAGCUCAACUCUGGAAUUGCCUUUUAGACUGCAUCGCUUGAAUCAUGGAGAGGUCAGUGGAAUUCCGAGUGUAGAGGUGAAAUUCGUAGAUAUUCGGAAGAACACCAGUGGCGAAGGCGACUUACUGGACACAUACUGACGCUGAGGCGCGAAAGCGUGGGGAGCAAACAGG
This 253-nucleotide ribosomal RNA is filed under the name uncultured bacterium. RNAcentral describes it as "partial 16S ribosomal RNA". It matches the Rfam family "Bacterial small subunit ribosomal RNA", at positions 524 to 776 of the family's 1533-position model. The record is from RNAcentral.